Molecule: ribosomal RNA, 440 nt
Filed under: uncultured bacterium
Lineage: Bacteria
Description: partial 16S ribosomal RNA
Rfam family: Bacterial small subunit ribosomal RNA
Source: RNAcentral
CCUACGGGUGGCAGCAGUAGGGAAUAUUGCUCAAUGGGGGAAACCCUGAAGCAGCAACGCCGCGUGGAGGAUGAAGGUUUUAGGAUUGUAAACUCCUUUUUUUAGAGAAGAUAAUGACGGUAUCUAACGAAUAAGCACCGGCUAACUCCGAGCCAGCAGCCGCGGGAAUACGGAGGAUGCAAGCGUUACUCGGAUUCACUGGGCGUAAAGAGCGCGUAGGCGGGCUAGCAAGUCAGAUGUGAAAUCCUAUGGCUUAACCAUAGAACUGCAUUUGAAACUGUUAUUCUAGAGUAUGGGAGAGGUAGGUGGAAUUCGUGGUGUAGGGGUGAAAUGCGUAGAGAUCAAGAAGAAUACUGAUUGCGAAGGCAGCCUGCUAGAACAUAACUGACGCUGAUGCGCGAAAGCGUGGGUAGCAAACAGGAUUAGAUACCCGGGUAGUC